AGAUGUGUGCACCAUUUGGUUGGGACAUCUGUCACUGUGCUGACCUGCAGAGCUGAUUCAGUUGGUCUAGCUGGUUGGGUGGCUGUCCCCCUUCUCACAUUCUACUCCACAUAAAUCCCUUCCUAAGCUGUGGCAAUCAGAGAAAGAAGACGGCCACUCCCCUGUGAAGAGUACCUAUCAGCUACACACAGAGCAACUGCUCUGGCUUGGUUUAUCUGUCAAAAAACUAAUUGUGGACUAAACAAAAAUGACCUUUUACUUUUUGGAGGAAGAAGUGGAAGUGACAGCUUUUUGUUCUUC
This is an unclassified non-coding RNA of Microcebus murinus (gray mouse lemur), 300 nucleotides long. Its record names the gene 7SK. It matches the Rfam family "7SK RNA". From Rfam's summary of the family: 7SK was discovered as an abundant small nuclear RNA in the mid-70s but a possible function has only recently been suggested. Two independent studies have found that 7SK RNA binds the CDK9/cyclin T complex (known as elongation factor P-TEFb). Lineage: Eukaryota; Metazoa; Chordata; Mammalia; Primates; Cheirogaleidae. The record is from Ensembl.